CUUCAGAAUACCCGUCCACUGUGGAGCCACAAUACUGCCGUGGUCCGCAGUCCGCAGUGAAGCCGUCUUUGCAUAUUUAUAGAACAAGCCAACAUUGGUUAGGAAUUUUGUCCCCAGCCAGCAGUGGUUAGGCAUUUCAGCACAUGAAUGAUUGCCCGUAUAACCGAUCGGGACGAUUUUUUUCCCAAGCCUCCGCUCCAGCGCCAAAAAAAUAUACCCAGCACAACUAGUUCGACUCCACAAAUUUGCCAGCAGAACCAUUCGGGAGGAAUUUCUCCCAGCAACCGAGGGGUCUAACAUCCAGACAGCAAAAAUACGGGCUGCGGAACAGAUCCUUUUUGUGCCCUUGAUGGUAGCUGCUUAAAACGAGCCUUGCUCAGAAUGCUAUCAAGACCUGCAAUCCUUAAAAUAGACAACUUUCAGAAUGUGUUUAUUUUUACCAUGGAACAGGUAUUUGUAUAAUAUAUUAUUCAGUUUAUACCAGAGGAUCAAAUUUCAAUUCAAGUCUUUCCGUUUCCAGCACGAACCAUAUAUGUGUCAUAUUAUAUGUGGUUUAAAACAUAAUUUAGCCCUUUUCCUUGUCUUGAAUAACAUAUAUUUUUUUAUUUGUAAUAUUUACACAAGAUAAUAUCUACGAGAUAAUUUAUGGAAUAAUGCAAAAUAAGCAUACGAUCAUUUUAUGUUACGCUUACUCAACAGACAUAAUUAUUUUGACAAGGCUAAGUAGGGUACACUAUACUUGCUGAAUUAUGUAGGAAUAUCGAAAUUAACCUAAUUGGGAUAGGCAGGCAGGUAGGAAUCAUUUUUAUAGGGCUUGGCUUAAACUCUUUUAGAAGGGCGUAUCAGCUUACCCAUGAUGCAUUGCUUGCGGGCGUGUCAGCCUACCCAUGAUGCAUUGCUUGCGGGCGUGUCAGCCUACCCAUGAUGCGUUGUUAGCGGGCGUGUCAGCCUACCCAUGAUGCAUUGCUUAAGGGCGUGUCAGCUUACCCAUGAUGCGUUGUUAGCGGGCGUGUCAGCUUACCCAUGAUGCAUUGCUUGCGGGCGUGUCAGCCUACCCAUGAUGCAUUGUUAGCGGGCGUGUCAGCCUACCCAUGAUGCGUUGUUAGCGGGCGUGUCAGCCUACCCAUGAUGCAUUGCUUGAGGGCGUGUCAGCCUACCCAUGAUGCGUUGUUAGCGGGCGUGUCAGCCUACCCAUGAUUCAAUAGCCAAAUUUAAAUGGUUUAAUUUUUGUGGUUAUACACUUAUUUUUUAAAUGAUUUCCGAACACGUCUAUUAACGCGCAGUGGCUAAUGGGUAAAAACACAAUGCAUCAAUGCAUGCUGGGAAAGGUGAGUUGCCAUUUUUCUUAUCAAAAUCAAAGUUCAACAUGAUCCUAUUUUUUGCCAUAUUAUAUUAUAAGGAUUACAUGUGCAUCAUUUAGCGAUUCUAGCAAGCCCAAGACUAGAAAGAAAUUCCUCUUUAUCUCCC
This is a long non-coding RNA of Nematostella vectensis (starlet sea anemone), 1467 nucleotides long. RefSeq lists it as uncharacterized. The record is from RefSeq and is a predicted model, not a curated record. The transcript has 2 exons. NCBI's taxonomy places the organism in Eukaryota, Metazoa, Cnidaria, Anthozoa, Actiniaria, Edwardsiidae.